This 253-nucleotide ribosomal RNA is filed under the name uncultured bacterium. RNAcentral's name for it is "partial 16S ribosomal RNA". It matches the Rfam family "Bacterial small subunit ribosomal RNA", at positions 524 to 776 of the family's 1533-position model. The record is from RNAcentral.
UACGGAGGGUGCAAGCGUUAUCCGGAUUCACUGGGUUUAAAGGGUGCGUAGGUGGGACAGUAAGUCAGUGGUGAAAUCUCCGGGCUUAACUCGGAAACUGCCGUUGAUACUAUUGUUCUUGAAUAUCGUGUAGGUAAGCGGAAUAUGUCAUGUAGCGGUGAAAUGCUUAGAUAUGACAUAGAACACCAAUUGCGAAGGCAGCUUACUUUACGAUCAUUGACACUGAGGCACGAAAGCGUGGGGAGCAAACAGG